GAUGAAGAACGCAGCGAAAUGCGAUAAGUAGUGUGAAUUGCAGAAUUCAGUGAAUCAUCGAAUCUUUGAACGCACAUUGCGCCCUUUGGUAUUCCAAAGGGCAUGCCUGUUCGAGCGUCAUUUGUACCCUCAAGCUUUGCUUGGUGUUGGGCGUCUUGUCUCUAGCUUUGCUGGAGACUCGCCUUAAAGUAAUUGGCAGCCGGCCUACUGGUUUCGGAGCGCAGCACAAGUCGCACUCUCUAUCAGCAAAGGUCUAGCAUCCAUUAAGCCUUUUUUUCAACUUUUGACCUCGGAUCAGGUUGGGAUACCCGCUGAACUUAAGCAUAUCAAUAAGCGGAGGA
Molecule: unclassified non-coding RNA, 341 nt
Filed under: soil metagenome
Description: partial contains 5.8S ribosomal RNA, internal transcribed spacer 2, and large subunit ribosomal RNA
Rfam family: 5.8S ribosomal RNA (bases 1-120)
Source: RNAcentral